UACAGAGGUCCCGAGCGUUGUUCGGAUUUAUUGGGCGUAAAGGGCUCGUAGGCGGCCAACUAAGUCGGAUGUGAAAUCCCCAGGCUUAACCUGGGAACUGCAUCCGAUACUGGAUGGCUUGAAUCCGGGAGAGGGAUGCAGAAUUCCAGGUGUAGCGGUGAAAUGCGUAGAUAUCUGGAGGAAUACCGGUGGCGAAGGCGGCAUCCUGGACCGGCAUUGACGCUGAUGAGCGAAAGCUAGGGGAGCAAACGGG
RNAcentral lists this ribosomal RNA (253 nucleotides) under uncultured bacterium. RNAcentral describes it as "partial 16S ribosomal RNA". It matches the Rfam family "Bacterial small subunit ribosomal RNA", at positions 524 to 776 of the family's 1533-position model. The record is from RNAcentral.